This 31-nucleotide non-coding RNA is filed under the name Sus scrofa (pig). The record is from RNAcentral. Lineage: Eukaryota; Metazoa; Chordata; Mammalia; Artiodactyla; Suidae. RNAcentral also lists the same sequence under 3 other names.
AAGUCGUAACAAGGUUUCCGUAGGUGAACCU